GCCGCGUGAGUGAUGAAGGCCUUAGGGUCGUAAAGCUCUUUCGCUGGGGAAGAUAAUGACUGUACCCAGUAAAGAAACCCCGGCUAACUCCGUGCCAGCAGCCGCGGUAAUACGGAGGGGGUUAGCGUUGUUCGGAAUUACUGGGCGUAAAGCGCGCGUAGGCGGAUCAGAAAGUUGGGGGUGAAAUCCCAGGGCUCAACCCUGGAACUGCCUCCAAAACUCCUGGUCUUGAGUUCGAGAGAGGUGAGUGGAAUUCCAAGUGUAAAGGUGAAAUUCAUAUAUAUUUGGAGGAACACCAGUGGCGAAGGCGGCUCACUGGCUCGAUACUGACGCUGAGGUGCGAAAGUGUGGGGAGCAAACAGGAUUAAAUACCCUGGUAGUCCACACCGUAAACGAUGAAUGCCAGUCGUCGGGUAGUAUACUGCUCGGUGACACACCUAACGGAUUAAGCAUUCCGCCUGGGGAGUACGGUCGCAAGAUUAAAACUCAAAGGAAAUUGACGGAGACACACCCCCGAGGAAAAGACUCAAGAUUUUCCCCGAAGUGCAGUUUCUUGUUGUUUUUUUGUGG
Molecule: ribosomal RNA, 570 nt
Filed under: uncultured bacterium
Lineage: Bacteria
Description: bacterial SSU rRNA
Rfam family: Bacterial small subunit ribosomal RNA
Source: RNAcentral